Molecule: ribosomal RNA, 549 nt
Filed under: Moesziomyces bullatus
Lineage: Eukaryota; Fungi; Basidiomycota; Ustilaginomycetes; Ustilaginales; Ustilaginaceae
Description: LSU rRNA
Rfam family: Eukaryotic large subunit ribosomal RNA
Source: RNAcentral
GGGUGUCCGCAUUGUAUAUCUCAAGAAGUGUUUUCCGUUUCGGACCAAGCCUAAGUCCCUUGGAAAAGGGCAUCAUAGAGGGUGAUAAUCCCGUACAUGGCUUGGAGCGCCCGAGGCUUUGUGAUACGCUUUCUAAGAGUCGAGUUGUUUGGGAAUGCAGCUCAAAAUGGGUGGUAAAUGCCAUCUAAGGCUAAAUAUUGGGGAGAGACCGAUAGCGAACAAGUACAGUGAUGGAAAGAUGAAAAGAACUUUGAAAAGAGAGUUAAACAGUACGUGAAAUUGCCAAAAGGGAAGGGUAGGAGGUCAGAGAUGCGGCCUGGGAUUCAGCCUUGCUUUUGCUUGGUGUUUUUCCCAGAUUGCAGGCCAACGUCGGUUUUGGGCACUGGAGAAGGGUAGGAGGAACGUGGCACCUCUCGGGGUGUGUUAUAGCCUCCUACUGGAUACAGCGACCGAGACCGAGGAAAGCAGCGUACUCGUAAGAGCGGGCCCUCGGGUACCUUUACGCUUAGGGCGUUGGCAUAAUGGCCCUCUACCACCCGUCUUGAAACA